Molecule: ribosomal RNA, 433 nt
Filed under: uncultured Methylobacterium sp.
Lineage: Bacteria; Pseudomonadati; Pseudomonadota; Alphaproteobacteria; Hyphomicrobiales; Methylobacteriaceae
Description: bacterial SSU rRNA
Rfam family: Bacterial small subunit ribosomal RNA
Source: RNAcentral
GGCUUACACAUGCAAGUCGAGCGGACCUUUCGGGGUCAGCGGCGGACGGGUGAGUAACGCGUGGGAACGUGCCUUCCGGUUCGGAAUAACCCUGGGAAACUAGGGCUAAUACCGGAUACGCCCUUAUGGGGAAAGGUUUACUGCCGGAAGAUCGGCCCGCGUCUGAUUAGCUAGUUGGUGGGGUAACGGCCUACCAAGGCGACGAUCAGUAGCUGGUCUGAGAGGAUGAUCAGCCACACUGGGACUGAGACACGGCCCAGACUCCUACGGGAGGCAGCAGUGGGGAAUAUUGGACAAUGGGCGCAAGCCUGAUCCAGCCAUGCCGCGUGAGUGAUGAAGGCCUUAGGGUUGUAAAGCUCUUUUAUCCGGGACGAUAAUGACGGUACCGGAGGAAUUNGCCCCGGCUAACUUCGUGCCAGCAGCCCGCGGUAAU